This is a long non-coding RNA of Bos taurus (domestic cattle), 904 nucleotides long. Lineage: Eukaryota; Metazoa; Chordata; Mammalia; Artiodactyla; Bovidae. The record is from Ensembl.
GAGUGGACGUCUUUCUUUAUUUUCGAAAAAUGGCUGCACCAUGACUUCACAUUACAACAUCCAAACAUUGGAAGGGUAAAUUCUUAUUUGUGUCCGUUCAGGGUAGAAGCCAUCCCAUGUGACUCAUGGGGUGUCACAUGUCCAUGCUUAAACCAAUCAUUAGCAAGAGUGAUGGAAUUACAUCAAGUGGUUUAAAGUGAUUCCCUUCUGGGGCUGAGUGUGUGGGAAGGCAAUUCUACAAGAUCGGGGUUCUGCUACUAAGGAAGAGAGGAGGCAGUCAGGCAGUGGGAAAUGGCUAUUGGAUAGAUAAAGGAAUGACAUCUGGAAAUCCGACAAGCAUCUUUUAACCCAGAAGGUUACUAAAGAUUGCUGUGCAGAAAUACAGGAAGUUGGGCUUUUCUGGUGGCACAACGGAUGGAAGUCUGCCUGCUGAUGCAGGGGACAUGGGUUCGAUCCUUGGUCCAGGAGGAUUCCACAAGCCAAGGAGCAACUAUGCCCAUGAGCCUUUGCUCUAGAGCCCUCGAGCCACAACUACAGGACCCAUGUGCUGGAACAUGAAGCUUAUGUGUUGCAGCUACUGAAGCCUGCAUGGCUAGAGCCUGUGCUCCACAGCAAGGGAAACCAUCACGAUGAGAAGCCCAUGCACAGCCACAAAGAGUAGCCCCCACUCACCACAGCUAGAGAAAGCCUGCACCCAGCAAUGAAGACCCAGUGCAACCAAAAAUAAAUAAACAAAUAAAAGAAAGAAAUUUUUUUUUUUUUUCCAAAAAAAGGGAAGAAAUACAGAAAGAGACUUGGUUCCUUGUGACUUCCUGGGGCAUCUAUACCAGUUCAGGCUUCCUCCAUGGGAAUUCUGCAUGACAAAUUAAGUGGUUCAGGUUUCUUAUUGGCAGAAGUAUUAAUC